RNAcentral lists this transfer RNA (541 nucleotides) under uncultured Prochlorococcus sp. RNAcentral describes it as "partial 16S-23S ribosomal RNA intergenic spacer". The stretch from base 212 to 284 matches the Rfam family "tRNA". The record is from RNAcentral. Lineage: Bacteria; Bacillati; Cyanobacteriota; Cyanophyceae; Synechococcales; Prochlorococcaceae.
CAGGGAGACAACAAAAUGUUUAAUAUUAUUAUUUUGUCACCUUAGGUCGAUCGGUAUCUCACGUUUUUAAUUUAUUAAAAAUUUCAUUUCCUAAGUUUUUCUAGGUCACACCCAUUAUUUUUCCUGGGCCAUUAGCUCAGGUGGUUAGAGCGCACCCCUGAUAAGGGUGAGGUCCCUGGUUCAAGUCCAGGAUGGCCCAUAUCUCUAUGUUGGGGGUAUAGCUCAGUUGGUAGAGCGCCUGCUUUGCAAGCAGGAUGUCAGCGGUUCGAGUCCGCUUACCUCCACUGAUUACCACCUCUUCCAUAACCGGUAGAAAGGAAAUCUUUUGAGUUGUGAUCAAAUUCUGAAAGAAUCUAGCUUCCUAAUGAAAUCAUUAAGAUGCUGGACUCAUUGAAUUAAUUUCAUUGUUUUCAGAGAACCUUGACAACUGCAUAGAUUAUUUUUAAAGACAAUAAGCAUCUUUAAUGAUGCAGAUUUAUUAUUUGUGCGAAUGCAUUAAUAACAAUUCUAUUAAGCUGAUGCUUCAAUUUUUGAAGUUAUU